UUGGGCCCUUUCCUGGGCUUUCCCGAUCUCCUCUGCUGAUUGUCGGGCAAACGGACUCGGGUCCGCCCUUCUCCGCACUACCCUCAACCUUGCGGGUCUCGGGUUCCCCAUUUCGCCCCGAUCCGAGCUCCGGUUCGCCCGACCCAUGCGUAACGGUAAGUGGGUGUCGGUUCCUGCCUUCUCAGCAACACCCGCAACCCGGCGGGGCUUGGGUCCGCGUUUUACGCCCGAUCCGCCUACUACUUCCGCCCGAUCUCUUCUCCUCUCCGUCUCCGGCUAUGCCCUAAGUCGCCUCCGGUUCUACUCCGCCAGCGCCUGAGCCCUUUCGUAGUCGCUUUCCGCCGGAGUUCCACCCGCACAACCUCUCGCCGGAUCGCACCGCCGAGCUCGCUCCUCUCCACCCUGCCUACUGUUGCCCUUAUUCCUCGCUUAACUAGUAAAGCUACCACUUUUACUACUUCUCCUUUUAACUACUCUACUCCUUUAUUCUUCAGGUUGUUACACGCCACCACUCACCCGACCCGUUGACAGCCCCGAAACGUAACGAGGAACGAGGAAGACACGAGUCGGAGCCUCUCCUUCGUUCUCGUCCUCCGACGCCGACCACGACCGCGGCUCCAUGGGAGGAGCUCGUCGACCUCCACACCUCCUCCUCCCACUCCUCUUCGUCCUCAUCCUCACCCCAUCGGCCCCUCGCGCGCGCGCUCUCCUUGUAACCCAAUGGAGCUCCCUCCUCUCCCUCUCCCACUCCCUCCUCUCCCGCGUCGCCAACGCCCGCGCCGCGCGCGGCGACGUCGCCGGCGCCGCCCGCGCCCGCGCCAUCGCCGACCGACUCUCCCUCCUCGGCGUCGGCCGCGGCGCCUGGUCCCUCGGCCGGGACUUCCUCUGGAACUACGCCUUCCGCGGCGGCGGCGGCGGCGCCGAGGCCUCCCGCACCGCCUCCCGCGUCCUCGCCGCCCUCUCCGAAGCCUCCCGCAUCAAAUCGACCGCUGAAAUGAGGCGGUGGGUGCUGCGGAACUACCCGGAUCUCGUCGCCCUUUCCGAUUCCUUCAUCCAAACUCUUCUCCGCACCUUCUCUCGAUCCGGGCCGCUGAGGGAGGCGGUGUUGGUGCUACAGAGGGAGGUGGAGGAAGGUGAGCUUCUGAAGGAUUGCUUGGAGGUGGGGGCGCGAGACCUGGAGGGAUUGCUUCGAAUAGCCAAAGAUCUCUUCUUCUCCUACUCUUCCUCUAGUAUCGACAGCGACGACUUGUGAGAAGCAAUAUUUUGGAUCCAAAUGGAUUCAGCACACCAGUUCUAACCUUUCAAUUGGAGCUCGCUGCAAGAAUACCCUUUUGCUUCCACAGAAGUUUGGAGAUCUGAAGAUCUGCAGAACCUGCUCAAAAAUUGAAACAGUAGACGGCCUUAGAUAGGUGUCACACUGCUUCAUCUGAAAAGAACCAAAAAAACAAAAGCAGAAAGUUUAUACUUAAUUGUGGUGAAGAAUAGCGCACUCCGGCAUUUAUGGAAGGUGAAAGAGCGACCGUCAAAUCUGCGAUCAACACGCAUCAACGUUAGAGCGCUGCACAUGCUGCAAGGUGAGUGAGAAUGGUCUAUCAUUUCACCACCAUGUGGAAUGGUAAUAGAUAUGUGGAAUAGUAUAGAAAUAGUAAUUACUAUUUUACUCUUGCUGUAGUAAAAAGGGUGUGGAAAAUAUUAAACAACAUUAAAAGUGAGUGAGCACUUACUGCUGCAGUAAACGGUUAGCUAGUGGAUAUAUAAAGAGUACUUGCAUUUCUGCAAAUGCAUUAACUGCGUGAAGAAUUUGCAAGGCCACAUCAUGCAUCAGUCCUGACAAGCAGAUCGCCAUUUUUUCCUGCUCCAUUUUUGUUUUGCUUUCCAAGGCAGUAUUAAUGGUGGUUGGUUGGCCUCCUUAAAUAGCUGGUGCAAGUUGAUAGAUGCUCAUUGUAAUUUCCCCGUGCUGGAAAAAUUUGUCGGUGCAGGCCCUGUUUUGCAUGAACUUGUGUAGACCUACUGUUUCAAACGCGGAAAUAAAAAUGCUUUGUCGAUUCUCGAUUCUCUUUUA
This is an RNA transcript of Ananas comosus (pineapple), 2062 nucleotides long. RefSeq lists it as uncharacterized. The transcript is spliced from 4 exons. Lineage: Eukaryota; Viridiplantae; Streptophyta; Magnoliopsida; Poales; Bromeliaceae. The record is from RefSeq and is a predicted model, not a curated record.